Molecule: long non-coding RNA, 534 nt
Filed under: Cyanistes caeruleus (blue tit)
Lineage: Eukaryota; Metazoa; Chordata; Aves; Passeriformes; Paridae
Description: lncRNA (ENSCCEG00000007130.1)
Source: RNAcentral
AUGGAGCAGCGACCCCCAAGAGUUCCCAAGCUGGCCUGGGUGGAGGAGGAGGAGAAGGAAGAAGAAGGCCCUGGAGCUGCCCCAGAAGUAGAGACCGAAGAGGUGCAGGAGUUCCAGCCGCUGGAGGAGGGAUGGGAGAGUGUUGGAAAAGAUCUGGAGCAGCGACCCCCAAGAGUGCCCAAGCUGGCCUGGGUGGAGGAGGAGGAAGAGGAAGAAGGCCCUGAAGCUGAUCCAGAACUGGAGACGGAAGAGGUGCAGCAGUUCCAGCCAAUGCAGGAAGAUGCAGCCAUGGACCAGACACAAGAGCAGGACCUUGCCUGUGGCCUCUUCCAUGGAACAGCACAGGAAGAGACCAGCGUCAUGGGCACUGGGUCCAUGGAAGACGGUGACGUCUACACCAGCGACACCAAUGCUGCCAUGCUGGAAUUCAUUUUGGAGGAGGGUGUUUCCAUUCCAGAGCAAGUAAGCAGCCUGUGGCCGUGGUUUGAUCCUCCAGGGAUCGCUUGGCCUCCCAAGCCACGCCUGCUGAUCACU